UACGAAGGGUGCAAGCGUUACUCGGAAUUACUGGGCGUAAAGCGUGCGUAGGCGGUUGGCUAAGUCAGAUGUGAAAGCCCUGGGCUCAACCUGGGAAUGGCAUUUGAAACUGGCCGGCUAGAGUGUGAUAGAGGAUGGCGGAAUUCCCGGUGUAGCGGUGAAAUGCGUAGAGAUCGGGAGGAACAUCCGUGGCGAAGGCGGCGUUCUGGACUGCAACUGACACUGAAAAACGAAAGCCAGGGGAGCAAACGGG
Molecule: ribosomal RNA, 253 nt
Filed under: uncultured bacterium
Lineage: Bacteria
Description: partial 16S ribosomal RNA
Rfam family: Bacterial small subunit ribosomal RNA
Source: RNAcentral